UCCUGGCGUCAGGAUGAACGCUAGCUACAGGCUUAACACAUGCAAGUCGUGGGCAGCAUGGUUGUUGCUGCAACAACCGAUGGCGACCGGCGCACGGGUGAGUAACGCGUAUCCAACCUGGCCCUUAGUAGGGGAUAGCCCGGCGAAAGUCGGAUUAAUACCCUAUGUUUUCCCAUGAGAGCAUUUGAAAGGGAACAAAGAUUCAUCGCUAGGGGAUGGGGAUGCGUCCGAUUAGCUUGCCGGCGGGGUAACGGCCCACCGGGGCGACGAUCGGUAGGGGUUCUGAGAGGAAGGUCCCCCACAUUGGAACUGAGACACGGUCCAAACUCCUACGGGAGGCAGCAGUGAGGAAUAUUGGUCAAUGGGCGAGAGCCUGAACCAGCCAAAGUAGCGUGAGGGAUGACGGCCCUACGGGUUGUAAACCUCUUUUGUACGGGAAUAAAGUGCGCCACGCGUGGCGUUUUGUAUGUACCGUAAGAAUAAGGACCGGCUAAUUCCGUGCCAGCAGCCGC
Molecule: ribosomal RNA, 512 nt
Filed under: uncultured bacterium
Lineage: Bacteria
Description: bacterial SSU rRNA
Rfam family: Bacterial small subunit ribosomal RNA
Source: RNAcentral